ACUAGGAGAAGAGCAGGCUUUCCCAGGGAUUUGCAAGUGAAUGUGUGGGAGGGAUACAAAGAAAGGGGGGCUUUGCCGAGAAGAUUCGCUCCUCCUGCUCCUGACAGAAAGGGUCUCUGUGCUUCAAGUCCAAGAUUAAAGCAAUUGUGUGAGGUGGAACUGAAUCAGAAAUAUAAUCAUUAUGAUUAGAGAACAUUACAUGGAUACUUGUUUAUUCAUUUUCUCAGAUGCUCAAUAAAAUGCCAGAAAGGAAGGAGGGAGAGAGAGAGAAAAAAAGUUGAAGACUUGGGUCUUAGCAGCUGCCAAGGAGAAAAAAGACAAAAAAAAUACUUCCU
Crotalus tigris (Tiger rattlesnake) is the source of this 335-nucleotide long non-coding RNA. RefSeq lists it as uncharacterized. Lineage: Eukaryota; Metazoa; Chordata; Lepidosauria; Squamata; Viperidae. The transcript has 3 exons. The record is from RefSeq and is a predicted model, not a curated record.